AAGCUGAAAAAGCUGGUCAUUCGG
RNAcentral lists this non-coding RNA (24 nucleotides) under Arabidopsis thaliana (thale cress). The record is from RNAcentral. Lineage: Eukaryota; Viridiplantae; Streptophyta; Magnoliopsida; Brassicales; Brassicaceae.